RNAcentral lists this ribosomal RNA (183 nucleotides) under uncultured fungus. RNAcentral describes it as "partial 28S large subunit ribosomal RNA". It matches the Rfam family "Eukaryotic large subunit ribosomal RNA", at positions 1 to 182 of the family's 3401-position model. Lineage: Eukaryota; Fungi. The record is from RNAcentral.
GAUCUCAAAUCAGGUAGGGAUACCCGCUGAACUUAAGCAUAUCAAUAAGCGGAGGAAAAGAAACCAACAGGGAUUGCCUUAGUAACGGCGAGUGAAGCGGCAAAAGCUCAGAUUUGAAAUCUGGUAUCAAAUUGAUACUCGAGUUGUAAUCUGUAGAGGAGUUUUCGGAGUACGGCUUUGGUU